AUACUAAUACUGGAGUCAUUUGAGGCUCCGUAAUUCGAAUGAGUACAGUUUAAAUCCUCUAACGAAGACCAGUUGGAGGGAAAGUCUGUUGCCAGCAGCCGCGGUAACUCCAGCUCAAA
This 119-nucleotide non-coding RNA is filed under the name Trichobilharzia regenti. RNAcentral's name for it is "Eukaryotic small subunit ribosomal RNA". It matches the Rfam family "Eukaryotic small subunit ribosomal RNA", at positions 477 to 594 of the family's 1831-position model. The record is from Rfam by way of RNAcentral. Lineage: Eukaryota; Metazoa; Platyhelminthes; Trematoda; Strigeidida; Schistosomatidae.